RNAcentral lists this ribosomal RNA (450 nucleotides) under uncultured bacterium. RNAcentral's name for it is "partial 16S ribosomal RNA". It matches the Rfam family "Bacterial small subunit ribosomal RNA", at positions 354 to 796 of the family's 1533-position model. The record is from RNAcentral.
GUGGGGAAUACUGGACAAUGGGCGAAAGCCUGAUCCAGCCAUGCCGCGUGUGUGAAGAAGGUCUUCGGAUUGUAAAGCACUUUAAGUUGGGAGGAAGGGCAGUAAGUUAAUACCUUGCUGUUUUGACGUUACCGACAGAAUAAGCACCGGCUAACUUCGUGCCAGCAGCCGCGGUAAUACGAAGGGUGCAAGCGUUAAUCGGAAUUACUGGGCGUAAAGCGCGCGUAGGUGGUUUUGUAAGUUGGAGGUGAAAUCCCCGGGCUCAACCUGGGAACUGCCUCCAAAACUGCAUGACUAGAGUACGGUAGAGGGUAGUGGAAUUUCCUGUGUAGCGGUGAAAUGCGUAGAUAUAGGAAGGAACACCAGUGGCGAAGGCGACUACCUGGACUGAUACUGACACUGAGGUGCGAAAGCGUGGGGAGCAAACAGGAUUAGAAACCCCGGUAGUCC